RNAcentral lists this unclassified non-coding RNA (227 nucleotides) under Hevea brasiliensis (rubber tree). The record is from RNAcentral. Lineage: Eukaryota; Viridiplantae; Streptophyta; Magnoliopsida; Malpighiales; Euphorbiaceae.
GGAGAUCGAAAAUCAACCUCCGUUUCAGAUCGACCUUGGUAAUCUAACGGCGUUCAAUCCUCACCAUCAAUUUCCUUCCCUUUCCUCCUCCAGGGAGGAUCUAGUGAAUGAAUGUCUGCAAAAGGGAACAGAGUUAGUUCAAUUUAUUGCCAAUGAUCUAUUCAACCUACCUUCAACCGAAGACAGAGAUGGUCCCCUUGUGAAGCUGCCUCCACCUACUACAAGAU